Ipomoea nil (Japanese morning glory) is the source of this 138-nucleotide long non-coding RNA. RefSeq lists it as uncharacterized. NCBI's taxonomy places the organism in Eukaryota, Viridiplantae, Streptophyta, Magnoliopsida, Solanales, Convolvulaceae. The transcript is spliced from 3 exons. The record is from RefSeq and is a predicted model, not a curated record.
UCAGCUUCUCCACACCCCAACGCUAUGCUCCUCUCACACCCUCCAUCAUACUUCCCCUUAUCCCAAUCUCUCUGUGAUCUUGGUUUAAACCCUUCCAAGCAACGGCAAACCGAGUGGCAAUGGAAUAUCUCACAGGUU